GAAAAUAAAAAUGGUGUCGUCAUACAGCCUUCAAUGUUAUUUAUUCAAAUCCCGACUAUAUAAUAAAACAAUUAUAUACUUUAUAGGCGGAAGCCGCCUAUUGCAUUUGCUUUGAUGACCUUUUUACCUCUCAAGAUGUCAAAGGUCAAUUUUGCCCUCUGACAUGGUACUCCAAACGGAUGUAUCUUAAACUAUGGGCAUACAACCGUUACUCGUAUUCGACACCCUUUCCAAUCUUUAUCGUUAUUAUCAUAUCAAAAGCGUGUGUUAUGGCUGAAUUUAUUUUAACAAUUUAUUUUGAUUUAUGAAAAAAAGUCCAAUGAAAUAAUAGCCUAAUAAUAGAACUAAUAGUUACUUUAGUACUCCUGAUACAUUUCACGCUUGAGAGAAGAACGAACGACAGCUCUGUAUGUUUAAAACAAAAACAAAUGGGGUUCAACAUCACGGGGUCCUGAAGCGAUGUUUAGAAAUAUUACGAGGGACAAAAUAGUUCAAGUAGGUAUAAUUAUAUUUAAGAAUUAAUGACAGGUACAUGUAUACAGCUACUGAUGAACUAAUUUUUUAAAUAAUCUAUUGGAAAAUAGAAGAAAAGAGGUAUGUAGUUUCUUUUAUCAAUUGUUUAUUUAUACUUAUGUACUACUUCCGCGUAAUAAUCUAACAUGAGACGAUUCAGCGUGAAAUUAUUGUAAACAAACCCACAUGGAGUACAAAUGAUUUACAAUGGAAGUGACAGGCUUCUCUUCAACAUUAGCUAGGAUGGACCAAAGCUAUGAAAACUGGACAGUCUCAAAGACACAAUUUUAGUCAGUAUAGAUGUGUCCCUAUGGAGGCAGCUAACAAAGAGCAGGAUAAUUAACAUUGCAUGGUGAACAUGUAGAAAUUUCGCUCUGUGUCAUCUCUAAAUCAGAAAAACUCAAUUCAGCACAACCGCAGUCAGAUACACUAUUCUCAUGAUUCUGUCAGAAGAAAAUUCUAACAAGAGACAGCUGUCAGGAGAAUGGUGGAGACAAUCUCCAGAAAAGAAAACGCUACUGAUAUUAGGAUGCAUGUACCAAUAUUUUACGAUCCCGAAAGACAAAUUUACCACAGGAAUAAAAAAAAAUAUUGUCUGGCUUUCAAGGGCCUGCUAUGGUAGGAGCUCUCCUGAAAAAAUAUCCAAUGGAUUUAUUGUGGACAUCAUGACACAGGGCUCACCUGUCAUCAGCAUUAAAGACUUGUGAUUUGUUCUACCUGGGCCAUACGUGUAUUGAAUCAAGACAUUUUAUAGAAUCACAAGCACAUUGUAAAUCUAUGUAAGGUCUUCUAUGUAUGUUGCAUCCUUAUUUGAUUUGCAACUUAACAAGACUUCGUUUCAUUUGUACUAUGUCAACUUAAUAUACAGAAAAAAAAACAAUAGCAGUUGUGAUGUUUAAUGUUUUCUAUUACUCAUUAGUACUCAUUUUU
Saccostrea cuccullata (small rock oyster) is the source of this 1443-nucleotide long non-coding RNA. RefSeq lists it as uncharacterized. The record is from RefSeq and is a predicted model, not a curated record. The transcript is spliced from 3 exons. NCBI's taxonomy places the organism in Eukaryota, Metazoa, Mollusca, Bivalvia, Ostreida, Ostreidae.